UCAAUCAGAAUUAGAUAAAAUAAAAUAAAAAAUAAAAUAAAAUAAAAAAUAAAAUAAAAAACGAAAAAAAAAAUAUAAUUUUUUACAAAAAAAUAAAAAAAUAAUAAAAAAAAAAUUUAAUUAAUUAAUUAAUUAAUUAAUUAAUUAAUUAAUUAAUUAAAUAAUUAAAUAAAUAAAAAUAAUAAUAAAUAAAUAAAUAAAAUAUAAUAAAAAAUUUUGGACUUGGACCUUU
Molecule: long non-coding RNA, 232 nt
Filed under: Lathyrus oleraceus (garden pea)
Lineage: Eukaryota; Viridiplantae; Streptophyta; Magnoliopsida; Fabales; Fabaceae
Description: Pisum sativum (pea) long non-coding RNA (PSAT_LNC031470)
Source: RNAcentral